GACGAACGCUGGCGGCGUGCCUAAUACAUGCAAGUUGAGCGCUGAAGGUUGGUACUUGUACCAACUGGAUGAGCAGCGAACGGGUGAGUAACGCGUGGGGAAUCUGCCUUUGAGCGGGGGACAACAUUUGGAAACGAAUGCUAAUACCGCAUAAAAACUUUAAACACAAGUUUUAAGUUUGAAAGAUGCAAUUGCAUCACUCAAAGAUGAUCCCGCGUUGUAUUAGCUAGUUGGUGAGGUAAAGGCUCACCAAGGCGAUGAUACAUAGCCGACCUGAGAGGGUGAUCGGCCACACUGGGACUGAGACACGGCACAAACGCCUUCGGGAGGCAGCAGUAGGGAAUCUUGGGCAAGGGACGAAAGUCUGAGCGAGCAACGCCGAGUGAGUGAAGAAGGUUUUCGGAUCGUAAAACACUGUUGGUAGGGAAGAACGUUGGUGAGAGUGGAAAGCUCAUCAAGUGACGGUAACUACCCAGAAAGGGACGGCUAACUACGUG
RNAcentral lists this ribosomal RNA (497 nucleotides) under uncultured bacterium. Its description in RNAcentral is "partial 16S ribosomal RNA". It matches the Rfam family "Bacterial small subunit ribosomal RNA", at positions 28 to 507 of the family's 1533-position model. The record is from RNAcentral.